AAGCCCCCUGAGCUCGGACCGCUCCACAGCGGCGAGGAUGGUGAAGGGCCUGGAGGGGAAGGCAUAGGCUGAGGUCGCUUAGUUUGUCCAGCCUGGAGAAGAAGGAGCUGAGGGCAGAGCAUAUGAGGGUACUGGAAAGCUGCAAAUUAGGUCACCCUGAAGCUUCUCUCCUCCAGAGCCUCCCGAAAAGGAAAGAUAAUCCCAGCUGCGUGGCAGAAGAAAAUUGCCACUUGAUUAUUCUAAAAGAAGGAGGAAAAGCCCCUUAAAUCGGAGACAUCAGGUAGAAGAAGCCUGAGGACUCUUCCUUGCACCUCAUAAAUGAUAGCUGCAAUGAUUUGUCUCCAUCUUGCAAGUUAUUAACAUAUUCAGCUGUUGUCAAAGUUCUUUACAGGAGAUGCCAUCUCCAUGGAGAUCCAAAGCUCCACACAGAAAAUCAGGCAGGCUUCAGAUGCCCUUGACAUGGAAGUUUUUCUCGCUGAUAGAGGAAAAAUUGGGGCACAGGAGCUUAAUUUUUUUUUUUUUCCUUUUUUUUCUCAAGCUGGUGACAGUAAUAACAGGGCUGGAGCCAAGGAGGAUUUGCUGGUUCUGACUGUCAGACCUGGAGUUUCCUGAUUCAGUCUCAAAGCUGGGGAACGCAAACAAGGUGUUCUCCCAGCAGCACAGGUCCUGCAGGAUAACCACACCUUGGAGAGUAUCCUCGUGGAACAGGGCUGUGGUGUUUCAGUCCAAGGAAAGGUACAGGGAGCAAGGAAUAAAUCUGCCUGAGAGCUUUCCCUUUUUACAAUGUUGAAGAGAAAACAAUUUAAGUCAUACAAAAGGCAUUUUUAACACUUUCAAUAUACCUGUCUCCUUUUCUAUACUAAACCUAUGCUACAAAGAAAAAAAAAAAAAAGAAAAUUCAGUGUAAAAACCCCACAACACGCACAUAAAGUUCAAUUUUACCCCCUGUGCCAUAGUUAGGGUGUCCCAGGGUGCAAAUGCAGUUUCACAGACAAGGAUCUCACUCUGUAAGUGGUUUGUCCUGCAGACACCUGGAGCUGGACCAGGAUUUGUUUGCAGGUUAAAACGGUCAGGCCAGAGCAAGGAAAUUUCCUCUUGGCCAAGAAUCUGCACCAGCCAAAAUCCUUUGCAGAGUUCAACAGGCUGGCAGGCCCUUGUCCAACCAAGACAAGCAGGAACCCGCUGCCAAAGCCACAAGGCCUUCCCUGGGUGCUGCAUCCCCCCCUGGCAAACCCCCACCAGCCCUACCCCACCACAGCUCCGGCUGAUCCAGGCACGAGGAGGGAGAAAAACCCGACCCAGUUACUUCACAGGAACAUUGUACCUGUUUUAGCUUCUAGGAGCUGCUGCUGAAAGCAAAGCAGCCCCCGUGUUUUUGCCUCAAAGAGUCUCCCGUUGCCAGAGCACAGCCCUGCCUCAACCCAGACAUCACCAACUGCAUCGCACCAGCUCGGGCUUCUCACCCAGAUAUGACUAAGCCCUUUCAGAACGAGAAACACUCAAGAUUUCUUGCUUAAUUGCUAAAACAGAUUAGUUUGACUAUCCAACACAUAGCCAAGCGGAAAAGAGGACCUGACACACCUAGCAGGUUCCUGCUGAGGCUGAUGAUCUGCUUUAGUUGAUGGUUCACGUUUGGGGAUGAUUUUCCACGGCCUAGCUGCCACAGGGCUGCUGGGCUCCUCUCCUGCCCUCCACAUUCCCUGCAGCCUUCUGGCCACUAGCGCUUUGGGAGGCUUAAAUCAAGAAUGUAACUGAUGGAAAGUCACCUUCAAAGCUCAAGGUUUAGCUGCCCCAUGUCAUGGAAAGGGCCCUUGC
Molecule: long non-coding RNA, 1815 nt
Organism: Hirundo rustica (Barn swallow)
Lineage: Eukaryota; Metazoa; Chordata; Aves; Passeriformes; Hirundinidae
Exons: 4
Source: RefSeq, a predicted model, not a curated record